AUGCAGCACUGAAUACGAAGGUCGCUCUUUUUCCCUCAAAAAUGGGUAAUUCCCGUCAUCAUGCAGUUAAGAAUGAUAUCAGAAAUCGUUUAUCUAUUCAUAAGCGUUGGAAUCGCUAUCUGAUGAGGACUAUGAAAAUCUUAAGAAAAAGAUGCUCGGAACGGCAUAUUCAUGUUGUCGAAGUGAUCUAAAUUCUGAGGAACUUGAUAAAUGUUUGAACUAUUAUUUGGUGAUGUGUUUUGGCAACGUUUUUCAAUUUUCUGAAAAACUUAACACAGUUGUGCCAACGUGUGGACUAAGAGAGGUAUUAAAAGAAAGAGUUCAGAAAGAGAAAGAUUUAAAUGGAUGCGUGAGAAUUCUGGCUGACCGUGAAUUGUCAACCGCAAUAGAACAGC
RNAcentral lists this long non-coding RNA (395 nucleotides) under Androctonus crassicauda. Lineage: Eukaryota; Metazoa; Arthropoda; Arachnida; Scorpiones; Buthidae. The record is from RNAcentral.